GAACUUAUUGGUAUCUCUUGGAAGUUGGCACCAAUGGUGAGUACCUCACUCGCCUCCCCCCUGGAGUCUACAACUGCUCCUUGCCUGUGAAAUAGCAGGUAUCACAGCUUCUGGGUCUGUGACAUUCUCACAUGAGCUCUCAGGAGCCCCUUUUCCACAAACAUGGGAAGGAUGCCCUUACCACAUGGGAGGGUGUGACAUGAGUCUAACUGGCCAUGGAGGACGGCACCACCUGCACCUCCCGCAGUGCGUCCUGGGAGAAGCAUCUGCCCAACAGUGAUUGUUCAGAGUGAUUUUCAGAACAGGAUAGAACACCACGGCUGGUCUCCUUCCUGAGUAAUUACUCCUACAAAUUUUCUGUUUAGGUCUGACAUCAAGCUGGAACAAAACUGUAGAUUAUGUGGAGAUAAGCUGAAUUUGUUAUGGGAUGUUUAUGUAAUUCCACAUAUAAAUGAUUACAAAAGAAAGAGAAUUUCUUGCCUUGUCUUUCCUACUUCAAGCACAUAUGUAUGAGCUGGUGGCUAUUUUCUAUUUGUUAAUAGCUUAUUAAUAAA
This 554-nucleotide long non-coding RNA is filed under the name Homo sapiens (human). RNAcentral describes it as "HSALNT0345506". Lineage: Eukaryota; Metazoa; Chordata; Mammalia; Primates; Hominidae. The record is from RNAcentral.